CCUACGGGAGGCAGCAGUGGGGAGUAUUGGACAAUGGGGGCAACCCUGAUCCAGCAAUGCCGCGUGAGUGAUGAAGGCCUUAGGGUUGUAAAGCUCUUUCGGCGGGGAAGAUGAUGACGGUACCCGCAGGAGAAGCCCCGGCUAACUUCGUGCCAGCAGCCGCGGUAAU
RNAcentral lists this ribosomal RNA (169 nucleotides) under uncultured Oceanibaculum sp. RNAcentral's name for it is "partial 16S ribosomal RNA". It matches the Rfam family "Bacterial small subunit ribosomal RNA", at positions 338 to 524 of the family's 1533-position model. The record is from RNAcentral. Lineage: Bacteria; Pseudomonadati; Pseudomonadota; Alphaproteobacteria; Rhodospirillales; Oceanibaculaceae.